AUGGCGGAGCUGGGUCUCCAGGAGGAAGAUAUGGGUGAUGUAGUGGUGGAUGAAGAGGCUGUCCCCCAACAUGCUGCUAGAUGGACGGCAGUGGCACGUGUUCACAUCGACAAACCCUACAGUCAGGGGUGGUUUUUCAGGAAUAUGAGAUCAGCUUGGGAUCUAGCGCAGACUGUGAACUUCAAGCCCCUGGAAGCAAACCUGUACACGAUGCAAUUCCACUGCCUUGCCGAUUGGGAAAGAGUUACGCAGGAGGGACCUUGGAAUUUUAGAGGUCAUGCAGUCAUCAUAUCCCCCUAUGAUGGGGUGACGCAGCCUUCUAAGGUGAAGCUUGACACGAUAGAUAUAUGGAUUUAG
This 357-nucleotide ribosomal RNA is filed under the name Triticum aestivum (bread wheat). Its description in RNAcentral is "partial small subunit ribosomal RNA". Lineage: Eukaryota; Viridiplantae; Streptophyta; Magnoliopsida; Poales; Poaceae. The record is from RNAcentral.